GACGAACGCUGGCGGCGUGCUUAACACAUGCAAGUCGAACGGAAAGGCCCUGCUUGCAGGGUACUCGAGUGGCGAACGGGUGAGUAACACGUGGGUGAUCUGCCCUGCACUUCGGGAUAAGCCUGGGAAACUGGGUCUAAUACCGGAUAGGAGCCAUUUUUAGUGUGAUGGUUGGAAAGUUUUUUCGGUGUAGGAUGAGCUCGCGGCCUAUCAGCUUGUUGGUGGGGUAAUGGCCUACCAAGGCGGCGACGGGUAGCCGGCCUGAGAGGGUGGAUGGCCACAUUGGGACUGAGAUACGGCCCAGACUCCUACGGGAGGCAGCAGUGGGGAAUAUUGCACAAUGGGCGCAAGCCUGAUGCAGCGACGCCGCGUGGGGGAUGACGGCCUUCGGGUUGUAAACUCCUUUCGCUAGGGACGAAGCUUUUGUGACGGUACCUAGAUAAGAAGCACCGGCUAACUACGUG
RNAcentral lists this ribosomal RNA (464 nucleotides) under uncultured bacterium. Its description in RNAcentral is "partial 16S ribosomal RNA". It matches the Rfam family "Bacterial small subunit ribosomal RNA", at positions 28 to 507 of the family's 1533-position model. The record is from RNAcentral.